RNAcentral lists this ribosomal RNA (406 nucleotides) under uncultured bacterium. RNAcentral's name for it is "partial 16S ribosomal RNA". It matches the Rfam family "Bacterial small subunit ribosomal RNA", at positions 28 to 526 of the family's 1533-position model. The record is from RNAcentral.
GUUGAACGCUGGCGGCAGGCCUAACACAUGCAAGUCGAACGAGUGGCGGACGGGUGAGUAAUGUCUGUGAAACUGCCCGAUGGAGGGGGAUAACUACUGGAAACGGUAGCUAAUACCGCAUACCAUCGGAUGUGCCCAGAUGGGAUUAGCUAGUAGUUGGGGUAACGGCUCACCUAGGCGACGACCCCUAGCUGGUCGGAGAGGAUGACCAGCCACACUGGAACGUGGAAACGGUCAAGACUCCUACGGGAGGCAGAAGUGGGGAAUAUUGAAAAAUGGGCGCAAUCCUGAUGCAGACAGGCCGCGUGGAUGAAGAAGGCCUUCGGGUUGUAAAGUACUUUCAGAGAGGAGGCGUUACUCGAAGAGGAAGCACCGGCUAACUACGUGCCAGCAGCCGCGGUAAUAC